CGGUGAAUACGUUCCCGGACCUUGUACACACCGCCCGUCAAGCCAUGGAAGCUGGGUGUACCUAAAGUCGGUGACCGCAAGGAGCCGCCUAGGGUAAAACUAGUAACUGGGGCU
Molecule: ribosomal RNA, 114 nt
Filed under: uncultured bacterium
Lineage: Bacteria
Description: partial 16S ribosomal RNA
Rfam family: Bacterial small subunit ribosomal RNA
Source: RNAcentral